AAUCAUUUUAAUUUUUUGCAAAGCAUCCUUAUUUGAUAUAUGUAUAAACAUAUAAAUUUAUGGAGUUUGCUCCUUGUCUAGAAGUUAGGUAUCUCGAACAUCAAAAAAUGCUGCAUCCGUGCCUGAUCUUCCAAUAAAAAUGCCUUUAAACUCAGAUGCUCUUAUAAUGUUAGGUUUAUAAUUGCAAUUUGAAUUGCAAAGCAAUGAAGCUUGUGUGAUAGCAAUAUUUAACUAAAAAGUUAUGUAACUUAUUAUAAGGAAAAGCUCGCACCAUUGUUUCCAGACGAUAAAUAAAUCUAAAUUUUAUUUGGAAAAGAAGUAGAAUGCAACAUUCAAAAAGUGACAUUUAGAUCAAGCCUGUAUAUCUGUCGAAAACCAAUUUUAUAGUUAAAGCGAUGCUAUAGCCGAGCACAUAUCUCUAUCUCUCUGAAUAUAUAUCUCUCAAAGACCAAUUCUACAAAUUUGUGACAUUUUCUGCAUUUCUUUUUGUAAGGGCUUUACCGCAAUAUUUGCUAUCUAUUAUUUAUUUCAAAUAAAACUCUUAAUAGUUA
Hydra vulgaris (swiftwater hydra) is the source of this 551-nucleotide long non-coding RNA. RefSeq lists it as uncharacterized. The record is from RefSeq and is a predicted model, not a curated record. NCBI's taxonomy places the organism in Eukaryota, Metazoa, Cnidaria, Hydrozoa, Anthoathecata, Hydridae.